UUUAAAUCUGCCUCAGAGCAGAAACUCCCCUGCCGUUAUUCUACCUAUGCUUGAAAACAUUUCCAUGAGAGCAGUAAGCAGCAGCUGGAGCCUUCCACUCGUGCUUUCCGAAGAAGCACCAAGACAUCUCUGAAGACACAACAGGGCAAAGAAUGUGAAGAAAAGACACAGUGAGGUUCUUAUCUGGAGCGUGGUUCUGCAGCUACAGAUUUGCCUGAAUUCAGUGUGAUCGCUCCAAACCCUUUGGAGGAGCUCAUGCACCGAGGGGAAGGGUGAGAGGCAAUUGUCAGCAGCUGGCUGGAUUAAAUAUGGA
Molecule: long non-coding RNA, 313 nt
Organism: Camarhynchus parvulus
Lineage: Eukaryota; Metazoa; Chordata; Aves; Passeriformes; Thraupidae
Source: Ensembl